GGAGGGGUAGCCAACGAGGUAAGGCAGCGGCCUGUUGAGCCGCAUGGAUGCGAGUUCGAGUCUCGUCCCCUCCG
Molecule: transfer RNA, 74 nt
Filed under: Haloarcula vallismortis
Lineage: Archaea; Methanobacteriati; Methanobacteriota; Halobacteria; Halobacteriales; Haloarculaceae
Also listed under: 1 other name
Description: tRNA_Asn_GTT
Rfam family: tRNA
About the family: Transfer RNA (tRNA) molecules are approximately 80 nucleotides in length.
Source: RNAcentral